AACGAACGCUGGCGGCGUGCUUAACACAUGCAAGUCGAACGGAAUUAGGGGCUUGCUCCUAAUUUAGUGGCGCACGGGUGAGUAACGCGUGGAUAACCUACCCUGGUAUCUGGGAUAACAUCUCGAAAGGGGUGCUAAUACCGGAUAAGCCCACGGUCUCUUCGGGGAUUGCGGGAAAAGAUGGCCUCUAUUUAUAAGCUAUCGUAUCAGGAUGGGUCCGCGUACCAUUAGCUAGUUGGUGGUGUAAUGGACCACCAAGGCGACGAUGGUUAGCUGGUCUGAGAGGAUGAUCAGCCACACUGGAACUGAGACACGGUCCAGACUCCUACGGGAGGCAGCAGUGGGGAAUUUUGCGCAAUGGGGGAAACCCUGACGCAGCAACGCCGCGUGAGUGAUGAAGGCCUUCGGGUCGUAAAGCUCUGUCAGAGGGGAAGAAGUGAUAGUGUGCUAAUACCACAUUAUCUUGACGGUACCCUCAAAGGAAGCACCGGCUAACUCCGUGCCAGCAGCCGCGGUAAUACGGAGGGUGCAAGCGUUGUUCGGAUUUAUUGGGCGUAAAGCGCGUGUAGGCGGUCUUUUAAGUCUGAUGUGAAAGCCCCGGGCUCAACCCGGGAAGUGCAUUGGAAACUGGGAGACUUGAAUACGGGAGAGGGUAGUGGAAUUCCUAGUGUAGGAGUGAAAUCCGUAGAUAUUAGGAGGAACACCGGUGGCGAAGGCGGCUACCUGGACCGAUAUUGACGCUGAGACGCGAAAGCGUGGGGAGCAAACAGGAUUAGAUACCCUGGUAGUCCACGCCGUAAACGAUGAGUACUAGGUGUUGCGGGUAUUGACCCCUGCAGUGCCGCAGCUAACGCAUUAAGUACUCCGCCUGGGAAGUACGGUCGCAAGACUA
RNAcentral lists this ribosomal RNA (892 nucleotides) under uncultured bacterium. RNAcentral's name for it is "bacterial SSU rRNA". It matches the Rfam family "Bacterial small subunit ribosomal RNA", at positions 28 to 896 of the family's 1533-position model. The record is from RNAcentral.